ACGGAGCAGAUCACAAACACAGUUUUAGUGUAUAAAAUUAUUUAAGCGUGAUUGGGUCAAUGGCUGAGGCGAAAACACCCUUGGAUUAUAUGCAUCCAAUUUAGAGAAACAAAAAGACGCAGCCGAAUUAUUAUAUGUUUCGGUUCAUAAAGGUGGAAACGAAAUUGAUAAUAUGCAGACUUGGAGAUUGUAUGUCAGAUUUAUUUAUCAAUAUAAUACAAUCAUGCUGCAGUUUAAGCAGAUGACUUUGUGUCAGUUUCAUUUAUGACCCAUGGUAUAGGCAACCAUUUAGGCAUUUUAGACAAGUGGCAUUUUUAUUUUAAAAUCAUUUUAAUUAUUAUUAUUAUUCUUUUUCUGUUUAUACAGUAGGUUCAACAAGCCGUAUUUAACUAAAAACCUUCCAAGUACCCUGGGACCUCGGUUGUCUCAAGUGAUCCUGAUUAUCCUGUUUGAUCUACUUCUUGAGGACUGGAAGUUCAACCACUUUCAUAACAAUACCACAUUUAUGUCAAGUGAAGGUUCUUUCAAAUGGAGGUCUCUAAAGAGGAAGAGGCAAAACUUAAGCUGUGAAAAAUGACAGGGUGAAAGAGACCUCCCCAUCAUGGCUAACCCCACCACAGAUGUAUGAUGAGCCCCUCAAGCCUUCUGGGUAAAUGAGAACAAGCUCUUUGCUGAUUGGAUUAAAGCCUACGGUUUGGUGAUGUGAGAUUAAGGGAACAUUAAAGAGAGGGAGUGCCUGAGAUCCAUUUAAGAGUCUCUGUGUUCAAAUCUAUACGCAUAUACUUUCGUCUCCAAUAACUCGUAUAUCCAAACCAAUUGAUAAUUGACCCGUAUCAUCUUUUGCCAUAAUUCACUUCUGGGAUAUUGUAAGUGUUAGUUUGGCUUGGCUUGCAUACGUAUUAGUGCUCUAUUAUGAAAGUUUCACAUGGGUUGAUUGGGAUUGAUCAGUGGUCCAUACUGCUGCAUAAGCCAAAUAAUGGCUGUCUCCUAGGGAGAGUCUGGUUGGCCGAGUCACAAUAGAUGUAAAUGCAAUUGAUUGACUGUAAGAGUCUAAGUGAUUUGGCCCUGUAAAUCGGGCAAGCCGAGUGAUGGCUGCGUUGGAGAGGAUUCUCUCACAUACGUCACAAGAAAUUUCUUCUGUUCUUUCAUCUUCUAGUUGUGUUUGUGUGCAAAUUGAGGAAAGAACCUGAGUUGGAAGGGCUUGAGGAAAGUGUAAGUGUGGUAAAAUCAGCCAGGAAAAAGUACUUCUUUAACAAGCAAAUCUAUUUACAACCCCUCUGAGACCCGAAUGGACCGGACUGCAUCUCAUUCUGCUCUCCUUCAUCACUUAGAGAGGUCAUUGACUUCCCCAACAGCCUCCCUGUCCCAAAAGGCAUUGGCUCCGUGGGCUGCCAUCAGCUGGUGACUGGAUGCUCAUACCAGAAUUAAUGUAAUCAGUAAUUACUGGAUGAGCCGGAAGGACAGCAUGUCUGAAGUCUAACACAUGAAAACAUGCAAAUAAAAAUUAGCAGUGUAUGUUAAAAUGUUCA
Long non-coding RNA from Cyprinus carpio (common carp), 1529 nucleotides. NCBI's taxonomy places the organism in Eukaryota, Metazoa, Chordata, Actinopteri, Cypriniformes, Cyprinidae. The record is from Ensembl.